This 253-nucleotide ribosomal RNA is filed under the name uncultured bacterium. RNAcentral's name for it is "partial 16S ribosomal RNA". It matches the Rfam family "Bacterial small subunit ribosomal RNA", at positions 524 to 776 of the family's 1533-position model. The record is from RNAcentral.
UACGGAGGGGGUUAGCGUUGUUCGGAAUUACUGGGCGUAAAGCGCGCGUAGGCGGACUAUUAAGUCAGGGGUGAAAUCCCGGGGCUCAACCCCGGAACUGCCUUUGAUACUGGUUGACUUGAGUCAUAUGGAAGUAGAUAGAAUGUGUAGUGUAGCGGUGAAAUGCGUAGAUAUCUGAAGGAACAUCAGUGGCGAAGGCGACUGUCUGGACCAAAACUGACGCUGAGGUGCGAAAGCGUGGGUAGCAAACAGG